This 378-nucleotide ribosomal RNA is filed under the name uncultured Propionibacterium sp. Its description in RNAcentral is "bacterial SSU rRNA". It matches the Rfam family "Bacterial small subunit ribosomal RNA", at positions 523 to 898 of the family's 1533-position model. Lineage: Bacteria; Bacillati; Actinomycetota; Actinomycetes; Propionibacteriales; Propionibacteriaceae. The record is from RNAcentral.
AUACGUAGGGCGCGAGCGUUGUCCGGAUUUAUUGGGCGUAAAGAGCUCGUAGGUGGUUGAUUGCGUCGGGAGUGGAAUUCCAGGGCUUAACUCUGGGCUUGCUUUCGAUACGGGUUGACUUGAGGAAUGUAGGGGAGAAUGGAACUCUCGGUGGAGCGGUGGAAUGCGCAGAUAUCGGGAAGAACACCAGUGGCGAAGGCGGUUCUCUGGACAUUUCCUGACGCUGAGGAGCGAAAGCGUGGGGAGCGAACAGGCUUAGAUACCCUGGUAGUCCACGCUGUAAACGGUGGGUGCUAGGUGUGGGUCCCAUUCCACGGGGUCCGUGCCGUAGCUAACGCAUUAAGCACCCCGCCUGGGGAGUACGGCCGCAAGGCUAAA